RNAcentral lists this long non-coding RNA (3632 nucleotides) under Manihot esculenta (cassava). RNAcentral's name for it is "long non-coding RNA (MESC_LNC011598)". The record is from RNAcentral. Lineage: Eukaryota; Viridiplantae; Streptophyta; Magnoliopsida; Malpighiales; Euphorbiaceae.
UGAACAAAUCUCAAUUUAAUUUAACUUUCAACUGAAAAUAAAUUGUUUAGCCACUCAUGACCAUAAUAAAAUUAUUAAAAUUUAGUAAAAGAAUAAGAAAAAGAAAAGAAGAUGGAGAACAUAGUGGGGGGCAACAAGAGAGGAAAUGAGAGCGAGAGGUAAAAUGUGAUUCUCCAGGUUAAAUGCUAGAAGCCUUUUUAUAGGCACAAAAAGAUAAAAUUUUAAAAUAAAAACUAUUAUCCCUAUCUUAUCUCUAUCCUCAUCUUAUCUCUAUCUUCAUAUGAUCUUUAUCCUCAUCUGAUUCAAUUUGACUCCACUUGAAACUGAUAUUAUCCUUGUUUAGGUGGCAAAAUCUAUCUUAUCUCCCCGUCGCCUCCCAGUAUAAAAAAUCCUUUAAUUCAGCAUUUUUUUCUUCCUUUUAUCAACUUCUGCUCACAAACCUGCACAAGAUUAAAUUCUAAUUAAAAUUAAAUAUUUACAUAAAAAUUAUAGUAAAAUCAAUGAAUUAAAUGAGGAAAAAAAUUGUGAGUUUUGCAACUCAUCAGAUUCCCCCACACUUGCACCUUUGCUUGUCCUCAAGCACAAAAAUUGAAAUGAAACAAAGGAAUACAACCCUGUCCUCAACCAAUCUGAAAUUUAAUUUAUCCAAAACAAAGAACCAAAUUGUCAUGCACUAGGAUGAUAGCAGAAAUAGCUUAAUUUCACCAAAGUUCACUUCAACAAGUUUCAUAUUUAAAACAUGUUUCUCAAGUCAUAAAGUUGGUCCUCAAUUUAAUUUCAAGCACAUAAAAUAUUAGAAUGCCAUAUAAUAUUAAAUUGCCAUUUUUUAAAGAAUGGAAUCUUAGGAACUCUUAACUAGACCAAUUAAAUUUAAAGAUUUGGGGUUCAUUAUUUAUUAUUUACACUUCCUACUAUAUCUUGCCUGAAACCGAUAAAGUGAACGUGAAACAAAUGGUUACUGAGCCACUUGCCCCAGGUUAUUUAGCUCAGGUGGCUACUAGCUCCACUCAUAAUUACCCAAUAAAAAGGUAUGGGCAAGUUUUUAAACGACCCAAAAAGGGUGAUACUCUCCCAAACACUGAUUUCUCCAUACAGAAUUACCUUAAGAGGUCACCAGGUACCGCACUACUUGGGCCAUCGGGUUGGUAACCAAUUGAUCAAGCAACUAGAGGAAUGGGUCAUAGGAGUGCAUUUAUUUCUGAUUUUUAUUUUUAUUUUUUUCUUUUUUUUUCAUUUUUUUUAAUACUCCUUGAUUUCCACAUAAAUAUAUAGUCUAGAAAAUAUCCUUUAAUUCAUUCUCAAUAAAGGGCAGCAACUCAUUUAAAAGAACAUGCAUUUUUUACCCACUAUUUAAAUAAGGACCAUAUUUCAUGAGAUUUCAAAACAAGGCUUAAAAAUAAAACUAAUAAAAUAAACAAUGAUAAAUUUAUUCUAUUUAAGCUAGCAUAUAAAUGGCAUAAUAACUUGUAUUCUAUGAUAAAGGAUAUAUCAAUUUCUUAUGGCAAGUAAGGAGCUGUAAAAUUUUUAUUUUAUUUUAUUUUUAUUUUAUUUUAUUUUAUUUUAUUUUUUUUACUUUUUUCCUUUUUUAAAAAAAAUGAUGCAAAUACUAGAAAUCAUAAAAAUUAAAUAUGAGAAAUAAUUUAAAGUGCAAGUGCUGAGAAACUGCUGAGAAUCAUAAAAACAGAAGUGUCCCAAAAAUUCCAAAAUUCCAAAAUUCCUCUAACUCAAACACCAAAAACUCAAAGAAAAAUGGCAGAAAAAGAAUAAAAAUUCUCAAAAAUUUCAAAAUGUUCAUCAAUUUAUCAAUCAAUCUCAUCAACCACAAAAAAAAAAACUUCUAUUUUCAUACCACAUCUCCCCCCACACUUACUCCUCACAUUGUCCUCAAUGUGGAAAAAAAUUCAAUUAAAUGGGAAAGUGCACAAAAUAAAAUAAAGUAAGUCAAAGAGAACUUCCCUUAAGAGUAAGUCGCAUAGAGCUCAGGCUGUUGGUGGUUGGGGUAUGGGCAACCCCAAGUGAGAGAGAAUGAUAUUCAAUUUGGCAUCCAUAUGGUGCAUUUUUGCCUCAAUUCUGGCUAGACGGGCUUGAUCACUAGGUUCUAGAGAUGCUGCUGAGGAGGUUGAGGCUGAAGCUGAUUGGUCCUCUGUCCGAAAUAAACGCGAUCGUGGUGGAAUGAUAGGACCUGGAGGACAAAACACAAAUUCUUUCCUCUCGUUGACGCAAAGUAAGCCCAUAGAAUUAAGUGCAGAUAUGUCAAGUGGAAGAAUAGGCUCAGCUAUGUGUAAAUUAGUAUUUUUAAUAUCAAGUACACCCAACCCUACCGCUAGCAUUGAAAUUACAGAACCCAAGUAUAUACCACGCCCAGCAUUAGAUAUACUUUUAAACUGCGAGGCUAACCAAAAACCAAAAAUAACUUUUCUUUUUUUUAACAUGCACCAUAAGAAGAAGAGUUCAUAUUUUGUGAGUUUAGUUGGAUCUUUAUUUUUUCCAGAAAAUGUGUAGGUAUCUAAGGGCAGGGCUCUGAAUAUCAUUGGCUUUAGAUUUCGCACCCCUAAAUUUAAACUCAGGUUUCCUGUUAACUCCUUGUAUGCUAAAAUUGGAUCCCAAUCCGCUGGGUAGUCACAUAAUGAAUCUAAAUAUUCAACAGUUUUGACAUAUUCAUUACCAUAAAUACCCAAGUACAAAUUAAAUGUUGUGAUUGAACAUUGGACCAUUUUAUUUUGCAACCUAAAAUGAAUUGUAGGAAUAUUCAUAUUAAAAUUCUGUGCAUCAAAAGAAAACUCAUAGGUUGCAUAAAAUUCACGGCAAAGCUCAACAUAGGAAGGACAAUCUAUAACAAAAAAUUUUCUCCAUCCAAUUGUAUCAAUUAAAGCAUAAACUUCAUCAUACAAUCGCAAUUGGAUCAAGGUAUCAUCAUUUAUUUUCUUACAAGCAUAAAUAUCAGAAUGGAGAAAAAUUUUAUAUCUCACCUCAUCAUCGCCGACAAAGCUAAAAUUGCCAUGAAGGUCUUGCUCUGUAGGUAGAUAUCUGGCCUUUCCACCAGCUAAUCUGGGCAUCCGUUUUUUCUGCUUUUUCUUUGGAGGAGAAUCAGCCUGGAUUUCUUCACUGGCACUUGAGGUUGUGUCCUCGCUGCUGUCCUCCGAAGCUUCCACGAUCAAUUUUAUGGUUUUGGAUUGCAUUUUUCGUUCUUGGAGUUGCCUCAGGAUUUCAGGUUUCACCUCCUAUUCUUCCUCAUCAUCACUCAUUAAAUCAUAAAUAGGAACCUUACCUUUCAUCUGUGAAUGCUAGCGCGUGGUUGCAUCUGGCGAGGAAGUAGACGGCGACGGUGUCGGUGUUGGAGAGGCUGCGAUCGGCGAGGAGGAAUGCGUGGAAGGGGCUGUGACCGGCGAGGAGGAACGCGCGGAAGGGGCUGUGACCGGCGAGGAGGAACGCGCGGAAGGGGCUGCAAUCGGCGAGUCCGCUGGUAUGGUCUGCGUGUGAGGCCUAGUCGCCGCGUCCGAGGGAAUCUUCGUCGUGGUCUGGUGGCGGCACGAUGAGCGGCGGCUCCCGAUCGAAGCGCCGGCAGCGUGGUUCUUGGCGGAACGGGAAGAGGCGGCGCGGGCCAUCUGCAGGAAAGAGAAGAAAAAGAAAAG